UUAAAACUUUCAACAACGGAUCUCUUGGUUCCGGCAUCGAUGAAGAACGCAGCGAAAUGCGAUACGUAAUGUGAAUUGCAAAUUCAGUGAAUCAUCGAGUCUUUGAACGCACAUUGCGCCCCCUGGUAUUCCGGGGGGCAUGCCUGUCCGAGCGUCA
RNAcentral lists this ribosomal RNA (157 nucleotides) under Penicillium chrysogenum. Its description in RNAcentral is "5.8S ribosomal RNA". It matches the Rfam family "5.8S ribosomal RNA". From Rfam's summary of the family: 5.8S ribosomal RNA (5.8S rRNA) is a component of the large subunit of the eukaryotic ribosome. It is transcribed by RNA polymerase I as part of the 45S precursor that also contains 18S and 28S rRNA. The record is from RNAcentral. Lineage: Eukaryota; Fungi; Ascomycota; Eurotiomycetes; Eurotiales; Aspergillaceae.